AUUGCACAAUGGGCGCAAGCCUGAUGCAGCCAUGCCGCGUGUAUGAAGAAGGCCUUCGGGUUGUAAAGUACUUUCAGCAGUGAGGAAGUGGAUAUGUUAAUAGCAUAUUCAUUUGACGUUUAGCUGCAGAAGAAGCACCGGCUAACUCCGUGCCAGCAGCCGCGGUAAUACGGAGGGUGCGAGCGUUAAUCGGAAUUACUGGGCGUAAAGCGCAUGCAGGUGGUUUGUUAAGUCAGAUGUGAAAGCCCGGGGCUCAACCUCGGAAUUUGCAUUUGAAACUGGCAAACUAGAGUACUGUAGAGGGGGUAGAAUUUCAGGUGUAGCGGUGAAAUGCGUAGAGAUCUGAAGGAAUACCGGUGGCGAAGGCGGCCCCCUGGACAGAUACUGACACUCAGAUGCGAAAGCGUGGGGAGCAAACAGGAUUAGAUACCCUGGUAG
Molecule: ribosomal RNA, 438 nt
Filed under: uncultured bacterium
Lineage: Bacteria
Description: bacterial SSU rRNA
Rfam family: Bacterial small subunit ribosomal RNA
Source: RNAcentral